RNAcentral lists this ribosomal RNA (254 nucleotides) under uncultured bacterium. Its description in RNAcentral is "partial 16S ribosomal RNA". It matches the Rfam family "Bacterial small subunit ribosomal RNA", at positions 524 to 776 of the family's 1533-position model. The record is from RNAcentral.
UACGUAGGGGGCAAGCGUUGUCCGGAUUUAUUGGGCGUAAAGAGCGUGUAGGCGGCCAACUAAGUCCUGCGUGAAAUCUCGGGGCUCAACCCCGAGCGGUCGUGGGAAACUGGUUGGCUAGAGUGCGGGAGAGGAGACUGGAAUUCCUGGUGUAGCGGUGGAAUGCGCAGAUAUCAGGAGGAACACCGGUGGCGAAGGCGGGGUCUCUGGGCAGUAACUGACGCUGAGGAGCGAAAGCGUGGGGAGCGAACAGG